UAACAGGAAGAAGCUUGCUUCUUUGCUGACGAGUGGCGGACGGGUGAGUAAUGUCUGGGAAACUGCCUGAUGGAGGGGGAUAACUACUGGAAACGGUAGCUAAUACCGCAUAACGUCGCAAGACCAAAGAGGGGGACCUUCGGGCCUCUUGCCAUCGGAUGUGCCCAGAUGGGAUUAGCUAGUAGGUGGGGUAACGGCUCACCUAGGCGACGAUCCCUAGCUGGUCUGAGAGGAUGACCAGCCACACUGGAACUGAGACACGGUCCAGACUCCUACGGGAGGCAGCAGUGGGGAAUAUUGCACAAUGGGCGCAAGCCUGAUGCAGCCAUGCCGCGUGUAUGAAGAAGGCCUUCGGGUUGUAAAGUACUUUCAGCGGGGAGGAAGGGAGUAAAGUUAAUACCUUUGCUCAUUGACGUUACCCGCAGAAGAAGCACCGGCUAACUCCGUGCCAGCAGCCGCGGUAAUACGGAGGGUGCAAGCGUUAAUCGGAAUUACUGGGCGUAAAGCGCACGCAGGCGGUUUGUUAAGUCAGAUGUGAAAUCCCCGGGCUCAACCUGGGAACUGCAUCUGAUACUGGCAAGCUUGAGUCUCGUAGAGGGGGGUAGAAUUCCAGGUGUAGCGGUGAAAUGCGUAGAGAUCUGGAGGAA
This 647-nucleotide ribosomal RNA is filed under the name uncultured Pseudomonadota bacterium. RNAcentral describes it as "bacterial SSU rRNA". It matches the Rfam family "Bacterial small subunit ribosomal RNA", at positions 64 to 706 of the family's 1533-position model. Lineage: Bacteria; Pseudomonadati; Pseudomonadota. The record is from RNAcentral.